This 477-nucleotide ribosomal RNA is filed under the name Fusarium solani. RNAcentral describes it as "eukaryotic LSU rRNA". The stretch from base 149 to 303 matches the Rfam family "5.8S ribosomal RNA". Lineage: Eukaryota; Fungi; Ascomycota; Sordariomycetes; Hypocreales; Nectriaceae. The record is from RNAcentral.
CCGAGUUAUUAACUCAUUAACCCCUGUGAAAAUACCUAAACGUUGUUCGGCGGGAACAGACGGCCCCGUGAAACGGGCCGCCCCCGCCAGAGGACCCCUAACUCUGUUUNUAUAAUGUUUCUUCUGAGUAAACAAGCAAAUAAAUUAAAACUUUCAACAACGGAUCUCUUGGCUCUGGCAUCGAUGAAGAACGCAGCGAAAUGCGAUAAGUAAAUGUGAAUUGCAGAAUUCAGUGAAUCAUCGAAUCUUUGAACGCACAUUGCGCCCGCCAGUAUUCUGGCGGGCAUGCCUGUUCGAGCGUCAUUACAACCCUCAGGCCCCCGGGCCUGGCGUUGGGGAUCGGCGGAGCCCCCCGUGGGCACACGCCGUCCCCCAAAUACAGUGGCGGUCCCGCCGCAGCUUCCAUCGCGUAGUAGCUAACACCUCGCGACUGGAGAGCGGCGCGGCCACGCCCGUAAACACCCAACUCUUCUGAAG